This 250-nucleotide ribosomal RNA is filed under the name uncultured bacterium. RNAcentral describes it as "partial 16S ribosomal RNA". It matches the Rfam family "Bacterial small subunit ribosomal RNA", at positions 525 to 775 of the family's 1533-position model. The record is from RNAcentral.
ACGUAGGUGGCGAGCGUUAUCCGGAAUGAUUGGGCGUAAAGGGUGCGUAGGUGGCAGAACAAGUCUGGAGUAAAAGGUAUGGGCUCAACCCGUGCUGGCUCUGGAAACUGUUCAGCUAGAGAACAGAAGAGGACGGCGGAACUCCAUGUGUAGCGGUAAAAUGCGUAGAUAUAUGGAAGAACACCGGUGGCGAAGGCGGCCGUCUGGUCUGUUGCUGACACUGAAGCACGAAAGCGUGGGGAGCAAAUAG